Molecule: long non-coding RNA, 1274 nt
Filed under: Homo sapiens (human)
Lineage: Eukaryota; Metazoa; Chordata; Mammalia; Primates; Hominidae
Description: long independently transcribed non-coding RNA 2464, transcript variant 4 (LINC02464)
Source: RNAcentral
ACAUCAUACAUUCCAAGUAAUGCAGCACACUACUCUGGACCACGGUGACCUUUUAAAUAUUCUGCAAAUUGAUUUCCAGGCCAUUCCCACUCUCCCUUGUUUAUAGCCUUGGUAACCCAGAAGAAAAUGAGACUGGCCAGCUGUGAUUCCUGCAUUUCUGUUCUCAUCAGUGCUCAGAAUUACAUUUCUUUCUCUCCCAAAGGCUUCAUGACAACGCUUACUGUUGAUCUAGAGAGCAGCAGCACCAAGAAUCUUCAAUAAGGACAAGUUUAAGAGCUAUAAGCAGUUGUGUGGACUCCUUAGAGCCUUCUGCCUGAGAUGAUGCUGCCAGAGGGCCCUUGCCAGAUAUUGCCACCUUGAUAUUAGACUUCCCAUCCUCCAAAACUGUUUAUAAGAAAACUCCUUAAAGCCGGAGAAGAGUUGAGAUGCUGAAAGCAAAAGACAUAUAUGCUAGCUCCAACACACAUUCAGUUCCUCUGAACAAUAAGGAAGCUUAUAUGGUGAUGGCUUGGAAUUUCAGAGUUCUAAAAUGAACCUAAAAAGUUACUUCAGCAUCCUUAGAAAUAAGUUGUUAAGGCAUGAACAUUUGAGUUCAUCCAAAGUGUUAUCAAAAGGUCUCAUCAAAUUAUUUUAUGUAGAAGAGCACCCAAAUGUUAUUUCUUGCUGUUCCUCUUCUUUUCCUCAAGAGAAAGAAGGUUGAAAACUGAAAAUGAUGAAGUUGAAGAAUGAAGUCAAUGAGUGUUAAGAAGAGAUUCAUUUAUCCUUGAAAAAUGAAAAAGUAGAGUGCUGGUGGUGAUCAUGUCUUCCCUUCACCCAUGGGGACUUUUCAUUUAUCGCUGCCACUCCAGCAUGUUCACUAUUCUCUGUAGCAUGAAAAUCUGAUAAAGCUCAUGAGGGGAGAGAAAACUUAACUUCAAUAUUUUCCUGCUGAGCCUGAGAGUGCUUUGUAUACCCUAGCAAGAUGAAAAUCUUAGCUGCAGCAUCAGGAAGAGGACACCUCACUUUAUCCUACAUUCCUAUCUCAGUCAGGAAAGUAGCUCUAGAGAAGGAACUAAGAAGUCAAGGCCUUUUGUGAAGUUGCUCUGUUAUCUCUGUGGCCCCAAAGACCAAAAUGAUGGAGAAAAUGAAACCAGGAUGAUUUCUGACAUCUGCUUCCACUCCACCUUCUUUAACCACUUCAUCCACAUCUCUCUUAGCUUCUCACAUAAGUCUCACCUGGAAUCAUCUUAUUUACACCAAUAAAUUUACCUACCACCUGCCUGUUGAUUGCCAAA